Mastomys coucha (southern multimammate mouse) is the source of this 170-nucleotide small nuclear RNA. RefSeq annotates it as U1 spliceosomal RNA. The transcript has a single exon. Lineage: Eukaryota; Metazoa; Chordata; Mammalia; Rodentia; Muridae. The record is from RefSeq and is a predicted model, not a curated record.
AUACUUACCUGGCAGGGGAGAUACCAUGAUCAUGUUCAUGAAGGUGGUUUUCCCAGGGCAAGGCUCACCCAUUGCACUCCGGAUGUGCUGACCCCUGCGAUUUUCCCAAAUGCAGGAAGCUCGACUGCAUAAUUUGUGGUAGUGGGGGACUGUGUUGGCGCUCUCCCCUG